AGUUUGAUCCUGGCUCAGGAUGAACGCUAGCGGCAGGCCUAAUACAUGCAAGUCGAACGGGAUUGGAGAGCUUGCUUUCCAUGAGAGUGGCGUACGGGUGCGUAACGCGUAUGCAACCUACCUUCAUCAGGGGGAUAGCCCGAAGAAAUUCGGAUUAACACCGCAUAACAUUAUUGGAUGGCAUCAUUUAAUAAUCAAAUAUUUAUAGGAUGAAGAUGGGCAUGCGUGUCAUUAGCUAGUUGGUGAGGUAACGGCUCACCAAGGCGACGAUGACUAGGGGAUCUGAGAGGAUGACCCCCCACACUGGUACUGAGACACGGACCAGACUCCUACGGGAGGCAGCAGUAAGGAAUAUUGGUCAAUGGAGGCAACUCUGAACCAGCCAUGCCGCGUGCAGGAAGACUGCCUUAUGGGUUGUAAACUGCUUUUAUACGGGAAUAAACCUUGAUUCGUGAAUCGAGCUGAAUGUACCGUAAGAAUAAGGAUCGGCUAACUCCGUGCCAGCAGCCGCGGUAAUACGGAGGAUCCAAGCGUUAUCCGGAUUUAUUGGGUUUAAAGGGAGCGUAGGCGGCCUAUUAAGUCAGGGGUGAAAGGCGGUGGCUCAACCAUCGCAGUGCCUUUGAUACUGGUAGGCUUGAAUGUAGUUGAGGUAGGCGGAAUGUGACAAGUAGCGGUGAAAUGCAUAGAUAUGUCACAGAACACCGAUUGCGAAGGCAGCUUACUAAGCUAUGAUUGACGCUGAGGCUCGAAAGCGUGGGGAUCAAACAGGAUUAGAUACCCUGGUAGUCCACGCCCUAAACGAUGAUAACUCGAUGUUGGCGAUAUACAGUCAGCGUCCAAGCGAAAGCGUUAAGUUAUCCACCUGGGGAGUACGCCCGCAAGGGUGAAACUCAAAGGAAUUGACGGGGGCCCGCACAAGCGGAGGAGCAUGUGGUUUAAUUCGAUGAUACGCGAGGAACCUUACCCGGGCUUGAAAGUUACUGAAGAAUUUAGAGAUAGAUUCGUCCUUCGGGACAGGAAACUAGGUGCUGCAUGGCUGUCGUCAGCUCGUG
Molecule: ribosomal RNA, 1052 nt
Filed under: uncultured bacterium
Lineage: Bacteria
Description: bacterial SSU rRNA
Rfam family: Bacterial small subunit ribosomal RNA
Source: RNAcentral